GAUGAAGAACGCAGCGAAAUGCGAUAAGUAAUGUGAAUUGCAGAAUUCAGUGAAUCAUCGAAUCUUUGAACGCACCUUGCGCUCCUUGGUACUCCGAGGAGCAUGCCUGUUUGAGUGUCAUUAAAUUCUCAACUAUACAAAGUUGUAUCAAUUUUGUAUAGCUUGGAUCUGGGAUUUUGCGGGCUUCAUAUCACAAGCCGGCUGUCCUUAAAUGCAUUAGCAAAGCUUUUUGUUGCUGAUCUUUGGUGUGAUAAUUAUCUACGCCGUUGAAAAGCACCAUAAUAUUGAGAGGCUUAGCUUCUAAUUGUCCAUGUGACAAUACUUGACCAUCUGACCUCAAAUCAGGUAGGAUUACCCGCUGAACUUAAGCAUAUCAAUAAGCGGAGGA
RNAcentral lists this unclassified non-coding RNA (388 nucleotides) under soil metagenome. Its description in RNAcentral is "partial contains 5.8S ribosomal RNA, internal transcribed spacer 2, and large subunit ribosomal RNA". The stretch from base 1 to 120 matches the Rfam family "5.8S ribosomal RNA", at positions 35 to 154 of the family's 154-position model. The record is from RNAcentral.